Molecule: ribosomal RNA, 404 nt
Filed under: Fusobacteriota bacterium
Lineage: Bacteria; Fusobacteriati; Fusobacteriota
Description: Fusobacteria bacterium partial 16S ribosomal RNA
Rfam family: Bacterial small subunit ribosomal RNA
Source: RNAcentral
UGGGGAAUAUUGCACAAUGGAGGGAACUCUGAUGCAGCGACGCCGCGUGAGUGAUGAAGGAAUUCGUUUCGUAAAACUCUGUUCUAUGGGAAGAAAAGGACUGUACCAUAGGAGAAAGCUCCGGCUAAAUACGUGCCAGCAGCCGCGGUAAUACGUAUGGAGCUAGCGUUGUCCGGAAUUAUUGGGCGUAAAGGGUGCGCAGGCGGCUUUACAAGUUGGAUGUGAAAUAUUGUGGCUCAACCACAAAAGUGCAUCCAAAACUGCAAAGCUUGAGUUAAGGAGAGGUAAGUGGAAUUCCUGGUGUAGCGGUGGAAUGCGUAGAUAUCAGGAGGAAUACCGGUGGCGAAGGCGACUUACUGGACUUAAACUGACGCUCAGGCACGAAAGCGUGGGGAGCAAACAGG